GGAAAUCUCUCUCUCUCUCUAUCUCUCUCUCUCGUUUCCUCCGUCAAACCACAUGCAAAUCUCUUUUUCAUAGAAAGAUAAAUUAUCAAACACUAAAUCAUCAAUUUUUGAAAUUGUAUCCUCUUGGUCAAGAAAUUUUAUCAGCUUUAGAUCCAUCAAACCUAUCAAACCUCUCUCGCUCAAACCAUCAAGUUUUGGGUAUUUACACGAUGGCCCAUAAACUCCCAGAAGCUGGAAAGCAUGAGCCUUGUUUAAGAAAAAGCUCAUUCACUCUUCACGCUUCCACAAAUGCUUUUUUUCUGACCAUCAUUAUUCACCGCCGCCUCCGCCGCAUUACCAUCGAAUUACUGUCAUCAAGUAACAUCUUCGGUGGAUCAGUUCAGAAGACGAGAGUUUGUUAAGGAUGAAGUACCGACUAUUAGUUGUUACCAUGGUUCUUGGAAAUAUCUUUCAUUUUUCUUUAUGAUGUAAUUUGUGAAAUAACUGGUUAAUAUUUUACUUGACUUUUUGUUGUUUUAGUUAGCCUGUAAUAUAUUCUAGUUAUCUAGAUAUCAUUAUUCUUAGUUAGUAAUUUUAAUUAAUGGUCGGCUAACACUAUAGUUAUCCGAUUAUGCAUGAUUCUCGAUUAUAAUUAUCCGG
RNAcentral lists this long non-coding RNA (639 nucleotides) under Brassica napus (rape). RNAcentral's name for it is "long non-coding RNA (BNAP_LNC016283)". Lineage: Eukaryota; Viridiplantae; Streptophyta; Magnoliopsida; Brassicales; Brassicaceae. The record is from RNAcentral.